RNAcentral lists this ribosomal RNA (253 nucleotides) under uncultured bacterium. RNAcentral describes it as "partial 16S ribosomal RNA". It matches the Rfam family "Bacterial small subunit ribosomal RNA", at positions 524 to 776 of the family's 1533-position model. The record is from RNAcentral.
GACAGAGGGUGCAAACGUUGUUCGGAAUUACUGGGCGUAAAGCGCGUGUAGGCGGCUCCGCAAGUCGGAUGUGAAAGCCCUGGGCUCAACCUAGGAAGUGCAUUCGAUACUGCGGAGCUGGAGUCCUGGAGAGGAAGGCGGAAUUCUCGGUGUAGAGGUGAAAUUCGUAGAUAUCGAGAGGAACACCGGUGGCGAAGGCGGCCUUCUGGACAGUGACUGACGCUGAGACGCGAAAGCGUGGGGAGCAAACAGG